RNAcentral lists this ribosomal RNA (253 nucleotides) under uncultured archaeon. Its description in RNAcentral is "partial 16S ribosomal RNA". It matches the Rfam family "Archaeal small subunit ribosomal RNA", at positions 474 to 727 of the family's 1478-position model. The record is from RNAcentral.
AACCAGCACCUCAAGUGGUCAGGAGGAUUAUUGGGCCUAAAGCAUCCGUAGCCCGCGCUGUAAGUUUUCGGUUAAAUCUAUGUGCUCAACGCAUAGGCUGCCGAAAAUACUGCAAUGCUAGGAAGUGGGAGAGGUAGACGGUACUUGGUAGGAAGGGGUAAAAUCCUUUGAUCUAUCGAUGACCACCUGUGGCGAAGGCGGUCUACCAGAACACGUUCGACGGUGAGGGAUGAAAGUGUGGGGAGCAAACAGG